UGUAGGUGAGCUAUAUAGCGUGCUGCGAACUAUUUCCAUCAGAUUUCAUUUCCUUCAGGAAGCGAAUCAUCUGUCGCCUGUAGGAAAGCGUUCUUUUAUCGUGUUCUUAGCUAAUUCCUUCUAAAGAGCAGUUUACUCCUCUUCAGCGGACACGAUGAGCUACAGGAGAUGCAUCGAGCCGUGUGAAAGGUUCAUCGCAGGAGGAGACACUCAUGACAGGUGCGUGCAAUGUUUGGGCCUACAACACGCCCAAGCGGCGCUUAGCGGCCUUUCUGAUUGUCAACACUGUGAUAGCCUAUGGCUAAAAGCACUGCGCUCGAGGUUCGCGGCCUUCUCGAAUAAAGUAGGCCUCGCGUCUAACCCCCGCUAUCCCGUUUCUGCGGGUGCCGAGGCGCCGCAUGAGACGGUCGCUUGGGGUGACGCAUGCGAGCCGAGGCGCUUAGAGGGUGAGACAACGGAGUUCUCUCCUUUUCUCUCGCUCUCUCCAGGCCAUGUGCAAGUGCUCGAAGAGCGCUAUGGGGAUCCGGUGGUCUUCGUCAAUGACAAUUUGCGGCCUACCCCGGAAGCUCGCGAUGCGAUGUCUUUCGGUUGUAUGCAGUAUGACAGAGACGUGCUGUCCACAGCGGCCUCUGAUUCUGAGGAUUUAUUGGGUGAAGUGUGCAGUUCUCUCCCUCUGAGUGGACAGGAGAAAUGCACCUCCCCGUCUUACAGCAAACUAUUAGACGUUGUAACGCGCGCUGUGGAUAAGUUGGGGUUAGAGUGGGAUAGCGAGCUGAUGCAAAAUCAGACCCAGUCAAAACUGGACGAUCGAUUUUUGUCCAGCCGCACUCCGUCUCAACCCCGUAGACCUCUCCCCUUUUUCCAAGACCUCCACCACAAGGUUUCGAGGUCUUGGAAACAACCUUUUUCGGUGCGCAUCACUAAUCCCGCUGCCGCUGAUUUUGCCACGGUUUCUAAAAUGGCGGAUCACGGCUAUGCCGGACGUAGAAGAGACUCUCGCGGCACAUCUCACUCCAAAUUCCGCUCCGUCUUGAAAGUCACGCCCUCUGCUGCCGUCCAAGCCGUGUAGGGUUACUUCCGCUUUGAUCGGAAAAUCUUACAUGGCCGCUGGGCAGGCCGCGGCCACACUACAUUCUAUGGGUGUACUCCAGGCUUAUCAGGCAGAUGUGCUCAAGGAGCUGGACGAGGGAGAAGGCCUGACCCCGGAGGCCGUUAAAGAGCUCAGACGAGCUACUGACUUGGCGCUUAGGGCUACCAAGCACACGGCUCGGGCAGUGGGCAGGUCCAUGGCAGGUUUAGUGUCAGCUGAGCGCCAACUUUGGCUCACUCUCACUGACAUUAAGGAGAAGGACAGGACCUUUCUCUUGAACGCCCCCAUUUCGAGUGACGGCCUGUUCGGAGAUUCGGUCACUACAGUCGUGGAGAAGUUUCGAGCAGCGAAACAGCAGUCCGCCGCGUUUCGACAGCUCAUCCUGCGCAGGGCUAGGGAAGUAGAGCGUCAGCCACCUGCGGCUCGUUCACGCUCGUCCUCUUUACAGCGUCGCAAGGCCCAGCGGCAUGAGCCAUCACCUAAGGUACCCCCUCGUAAGGAUUGGGGUCCUAGGUCUCGCUCACCUGCUCACACACGACAACGAAAGCGGUUAGACCUGAGUUCGACGGCCAAGACCUCUCGUUCUCAGGCUCCUAAUAGCAGUUCCUGAUUCCUCUGCUCGUCUUCGGAGGCCAGGCCCUCCUUUAGAGAGUGUGGACGAACUGCACAAGCGUAUUCGCCUCUCUCGCUGUGGCCUCCUGACUCUGAUCUUGACGGUCCUGCCGCAUAUUGCGCCUCAGGCAGUUUUAGGUCGAGUCCUUACGACGAGCACCCCCUCGGAUACUCUGCGCGUUCCAGCCUUCAGAGUUCGAAAGAAAGCCCAAGGGUCAUGCGAGCAUGGCCCGUUUAUGACGGCCUCCAAAGCCCCCACUUUUGGGGUGGUGGGUAGGCCCGACAGGACAAUCAGAAAACAUCUUCCCAUUAUAGCUUUUUCCACCACUCAGGUGCUUUGGGAUCCUAUACGGGAGAAUCAGGUGUACGUUCCAACCGUAGAACCGUAGAGUGGUGGCCCACUCAGUCGUGGUUCUCGGACCUGGUCAGUCUGCUAGCCGGCCCUCCAUGGGAGGUUCCCCUCAGACACGAUCUGUUGACGCAAGCCUGAGGCAUGAUCUGGCAUCCUCGACCGGUAUUAUGGAGGUUAUGGGCGUGGCCACUGAGCGGAGUACGCUAAUGUGUUCUGGUCUCUCGGCUGAGAUUACCGACACUAUUAUGAAUUCUAGGGCUCCCUCCACGAGACGCUUAUAUGCUUUCAAGUGGAGACGUUUUGCCUCUUGGUGUAGUCAGCGCAUUUUGGAUCCAGUCCACUGCCCUAUCGGUUCAGUACUGGAGUUUCUUCAGAGUCGUUUCUCUGAAGGGGUUACUCCCGCCACUCUUAAAGUGUACGUGGCGGCCAUAUCGGUGGGACAUGCACUCGUAGGAGGUGUUUCGGUUGGUCGUCACCCCCUGGUCUCAAGUUUUAUGCAGGGUUCGAGACGGUUCGAGGUUCCGCCCAGCCCGAGUUCCUUCUUGGGACUUAUCGAUUGUGUUGGAGGGCCUGACAGGCCAUCCCUUUGAACUGAUGGAGUCUGUGUCAGAGAAGCUCUUGACCCUCAAGACGGUUCUUUUGAUGGCUUUAUCCUCCCUUAAGAGAGUAGGGGAUCUGCAGGCUCUCUCCAUCAGUCCUUCAUGUAUGGACUUUGCCCCAGGACUGGUUAAAGUCUUUUUGCGACCUAGGCCUGAUUAUGUUCCGAAGGUCGCUUUGAAUCCAUUUCGCUUUCAGCAAGUGGUCUUGGAGGCUUUUUCCCCAGCUGAGGAGGGGGUCAGUUAGCCUGAAUCUCUGUCCAGUUAGGGCACUUAGGAUCUAUGUCGACCACACAGUUCAGUGGCGUGGAUCUGACCAGUUGUUUGUGUGUUUUGGUAGUAAGAGCAGAGGUUCUGCUGUCACUAAACAGCGGAUGUCACACUGGAAAGUGGAAGCUAUUUCUUUGGCCUAUGAGGCGCGUGGCUUGACCCCGCCUCUAGGGGUACGUGCUCAUUCCACAAGAGCAGUGGCUUCUCCUCAGGCCUUCUUCAAGGGGUCCUCGACGGAAGAUGUUUGUGCUGCGGCAGGAUGGUCCUCUCCUAGCACCUUCAUCAAGUUUUACAGUCUGGACGUGAGGAUGGCUCCCGGGUCUUAUCCGAUUGAGCAGACGCUUUCCUUGGUCUACUAGCUAUCUAAGGUACGACAGGCGUUAUGGUAUAGCGUUCCC
Non-coding RNA from Sinocyclocheilus grahami, 3318 nucleotides. Lineage: Eukaryota; Metazoa; Chordata; Actinopteri; Cypriniformes; Cyprinidae. The record is from RefSeq and is a predicted model, not a curated record.